Molecule: long non-coding RNA, 6395 nt
Filed under: Salvia miltiorrhiza (redroot sage)
Lineage: Eukaryota; Viridiplantae; Streptophyta; Magnoliopsida; Lamiales; Lamiaceae
Description: long non-coding RNA (SMIL_LNC008285)
Source: RNAcentral
UUUUGCAUUUAACACAUAUCUACAAUGAAUGCAGGUCCUACUGAAGUUGGAAAAACUACAGGUAGAGCUUACUCAACGUUUUGGCAGUCCGCCUACUUUUGCCCAAUGGGCUGCAGCGGCUGGUGUUGAUCAGAAAACCUUGAGGAGGCAACUGAAUUACGGUAGUCUAUGCAAAGAUAAAAUGAUUAAGAGCAACAUACGUCUAGUUAUUUCUAUUGCAAAAAAUUACCAGGGAGCUGGGAUGAAUCUUCAAGAUUUGGUUCAGGUAUUCAUUAUUUUGCGACCUCUGAUUGUCAGAUCUGAAGUUAUUAUGCAGAAAUCAGAAAACCUAUGACCUAUUCGUCUCAUACCCUGUCUUUCACUAAUUGUUCUUGCGGGUAUGUCCUUAGGAAGGGUGUCGUGGACUCGUGAGAGGUUCAGAGAAAUUUGAUGCGUCGAAGGGUUUCAAGUUCUCCACCUACGCUCAUUGGUGGAUAAAGCAAGCAGUCCGGAAAUCACUUUCUGACCAAUCCAGGACAAUUAGGCUACCGGUAAGAAUUCUGCUACACGAUAUUUUACUAGGUCAAUAACCGAGUGAGUGUAAAGUUUAAUAUGGAGGCGUAUGAGAUCUUAAUUUACAUGCUUUGCCUGCAUGACAGUUUCACAUGGUUGAAGCUACUUAUAGAGUGAAGGAGGCAAGAAAGCAACUCUACAGUGAAAAUGGUAGAGUUCCUGAUGACGAAGAAGUUGCUGAAGCGACAGGGCUCUCCAUGAAGCGACUUUCUGCAGUCAUGUUGACCCCCAAAGCUCCAAGAUCCCUCGACCAGAAAAUCGGAAUCAACCAAGACCUCAAACCCUCAGUACGUCUGAAAACAGAUCUUCUCUUCUCUUGACAUCUCUAUCCCUACUCCUUACCAUCUCACGUCGUCUAAUUUUGUUUUUCUCGUUUUCCUUGUAUAGGAUGUGAUUGCAGACCCUGAAGCAGAAACAUCAGAGGAGUUGCUGAUUAAGCAGUUCAUGAGACAAGACUUGGCAAAGGUUCUCAACAGCCUGAAUCCGAGAGAAAAGCAAGUUGUGUCGUGGAGGUUUGGGCUUGAGGAUGGUAGAAUGAAGACGUUGCAAGAAAUCGGGGAGCUUAUGGGUGUGAGCAGGGAAAGGAUCAGGCAGAUAGAAUCUUGCGCCUUUCGGAAACUGAAGAACAAGAAAAGAACGAAGCACCUGCAACAGUAUGUAAUGGCAUAGCAACCCCUUCGUUUCUUUGAUUAGUCUGCUAGAAUUCUUGAGGCUCAUUGUCUGGUUCAUCAAGUCAUUUUUCCACCAGCUUUAACCCUCUCCUCCACUCCCACCCACGGCCUCUCUUUUCUUUCCUACGAGAACAUUAUAUCAUGGUUUCUUAGUAGAUAUAUCAUGUUAAGAAUAGUUCUUAUCAUUUGUGAAUACGACAUUUUUUGUAUUACAUAAAUUUUGUUUUUUGUUUAUGAAAUAAUAAAUGCUGAAUACUUCAUGCAUGAGGAAUGAUAUGCCAGUCACACCAUGUUAAUUUAUAUAUAGAGAGAUAGGGAAAGGUCCCGUUAAAAAUCUAAAUGUGUUGAAAAUUGUAAAUGUGCGUAAACUCUCGCAAAUAAGUCAAUAAUUUUGACGAAGAAAUCCAUUUCUUCGGCCUACACAACAAAUAUUGGUAUGAAUGGAACAAAUUCGUACGAUUUUGUUCCACAUUUUCUUAAAUUUGGAUUUGCAUCUCAUAACUCUCGUAAAUUUGAAAUUCUUUGAAAUCAUAUUUCACCGGUUUUCUAUAAAAUGAGAAUGUUGACGAAGGCGACGAAGAAAAUCGGAGAAGAGGCCAUCAGAGAUAAAAAGAUAGAGCAACUCAUUGGAAAGAGAUAGAAUUAGGGCUUCGGACUGGUAGAGGCGUGAAGGAGAAAAUUAGGAUUUGAGAGAGAGCAAGAACAAAUAUAACAGUGUUUUUUUGUACAUAAAACAAAGAAGGACAUGGAUUAUUUUGUCUAAAACAAUUAAAAUUGACUAUAAUUUAUUGAAAUAAUGUUGGGUGGACAAUUAUUAAUUUUUUACUAUUCUCAAUGGACAUUUCGUACUAUUGACACUCCAUUUUAAUUAUAAUUAUUAAUUAUUAAUUAUUAAUUAAUUAUUAAUAUUAAUAUUAAUUUUAAUUAAAAUAUAAUAAUUAUCAUUAUAACUAAAUAUAAUUUUCACACGUUCACAGGUAGGAUUGUAAACGAAUUGAAUAGUAUCGAAUAUCGUGAUUUUGUAUUCGUAUUUGAAUACUAACCGAAUUGAAUCGGAUCGAAUAUUUAUUUCGAAUCGAAUAUUUAUCUAAUAUGAAUAUCGAAUCAAAUACGAAUUAUUUGAGGGGCAGACUUCGGUGCGCGCUUAACAAACUCAGCGCUCACAUGGUGCGCGCGGAUCCUGGGUCACGACCCGACCCGGAUCUGGUCCAGAAAUAUUAAAAAAAAAAUUUGCAUCGAGUUUAUAAUUAUAUAUUAGUGUUAAUGAAAUUAAUAUCAAUAGAUUCCUUAGCUUAGUUGGUUUAGGCGCCUGUUUACCAUAUUCCAAGUCUAGGGUUCGAAGCCCAGUAGCAGCGAAAUUUUCUGUUUUUUUUUGCUGUUUUAUUUCUUUCUUCUUUAUUUUUUUUUAAAAAAUUUGCUGUUAGUGUCAUUUAUAUAUUUUUAAAGUGUUUUUUACUAACAAAAAUAGUGUCAAUGUUAUAGUGUCAUUUUUUUAAAUCUGAGAAACAAAUGAUGUUACAAGAUUUUAAAAGACACUAUAACAUUUUAAAUGACGCUACUCCAACAAACAAAUGAUAUUACAAGAUUUCAAAUGACAUUAUAACAUUUCAAAUGACACUACUCCGACAAACAAAUGACACUACAAAAAUUCAAAUGACACUAUAAAAUUUCUAAUGGAACUACAAGAUUUCAAAUAACACAACUCCGACAUACUAUAACAUUUUAACAUUUCAAAUGACAUUAUAAUAUUUCAAAUGACACUACAAAAAUCUGAUCGCCACAUUGAAAUUUCAAAUGACACGACUCCGAUAAACAAAUGACACUACAAGAUUUCAAAUGACACUAUAAAAUUUCAAAUGACACUAUAAGAUUUCAAAUGUCACUAUAACGUUUCGAAUGACACUUUGACAUUUCAAAUGUCACUAUAAGAUUUCAAAUGACACUAUAACAUUUCAAAUGACACCUCAAGAUUUCAAAUAACACUAUGAGAUUUCAAAUGACACUACAAAAUUUCAAAUGACACUACAAGUUUUCAAGUGACAUUAUGAUAUUUCAAAUGACACUACAAAAUUUCAAAUGACACUAUGACACUACAAGAUUUCAAAAUGAUACUAUGACAUACAAAUUACACUAUGACAUUUCAAAUGACACUGCGACAUUUGAAAUGACACUAGAAGUUUUCAAGACAUUUCAAAUGAUAUAGUGUCAUUUCAAAUGAAACUACAACAUUUCAAAUGACAUUAUAAUAUUUCAAAUUACACUACAAGAUUUCGAAAUAACACUAUGAUAUUCAAAUGACACUAUGACUUUUCAAAUGACACUACAAGAUUUCAAAAUGUUAUAGUGUCUUUUGAAAUGUUAAAGUGUCUUCUGAAAUCUUGUAGUGUCAUUGGAAAUGUUUAAGUGUGAUUCUAAAUCUUAAAGUGUCAUUUCAAAUGUUAUGGGUGGGGCAGGAUUAGUUCUAACAUCUCUGAAGCCCUACAGAACCCGUAUCAGUAUGUGCCUUUUUUCUCCUUCAAGGCUGAAAAUUGGAAGGGGAACAUUGUAGAUUUUGAGGGCAUGAAAACUUCUGUGGCUUCAAAUGCUAAGCAGAUCACAGAUUGCUUUCAAAGAGUCGGGGGGCGCUUCUGUCCUUGGGAUGGAGCUGGCAAUAACACGAUGCUUGUUAAACAUUUCCUUCUUGAACAAUGAAAGUAAUUUCAAGUACUGAUCACAUAUACUAUCAACUAUGUCAUAGUUAUUGCUUCGGAGAUAUUACAGUUAAAUUUUGUUUCAUUUUUCAUCUUGAGCUUAUAUCUAAUUAAAUGCAAAUUAAUUUCCAAAUUCACAAGUACUAAUCUAAAAGAAGUUAUAUUACGCAGCAUCCUGGGAAUUUUGCAAGUGUAUUUCUUAUGCUAUGGUAAAAUUAUUUUCGAUAUAUCUUCUUGUACUACUAUAGAGACUGGUAAAGGUUUAUAUGUCGACUUUCUUGCAGGUUCGAAGAAUUUAUAGCACCAUAUAAUAUAUGUUAUAGUGUCUCUUGAAACAUACUUACCACACUCUUUGAUAGAACCAUAGUUUCAUCUAUUAAUGUAUAUGGUGUCAUUUACAUAUAUUAUAAGUGUCAUUUACUAAAAACACAGUGUCAUUCAUCACACUAAACUCAAACUUAUGCAAAAUAUACCCUUGAAGCCAUCUCAUAGCCUUCCGCAACCCGAAUAGGAUGAAUUCCCCGUUCCAACAUCUUCUGCGCUUACUCUUUUGCAACCACAACGCCGCCGCCUCCGCCCUCAAGGCUCAAUCGGUGAAGGCCGGCGCCUUCACCAUCUCCCUCUCGCUUAAAAUCGGCGGGCGGUCGCCCGACUGGAGCCGCCGUAGACAUUAGCAACUUCACCUUGAGUCCGCCGGCGAAGAAGGAGGAGGACAGAGCGGCGUUGUUUGCGUGUUCCUAUGACAGAGAAGAGAAAGAUGAUGAGCGAGAGAAGAGAGAGGAGUACAGGUUGUCCAGCGGUAGCGACAAUUAAUUUUUUCUUUUCAAUAUAUAUUAAAUUCAGCGCGCACCAUGUGAGCGCAAAAAAUACACGGCGCUCAUUUAAGUUUUUGUGAUUAUUUGAUUAGUUUACAAUCGCAAUGAAAAAGUGCGACUUGUGGUGGAAGAAUUACUUUAAUUUAAAAUUUUAAUUUUAUAAAUUGUUAAGUUUUACUUUUUAAAUUGUGGAGAAUGAAUUUAAUGCAUGUAUAUUAUGAUUCUUUACAUUUUUCCGUUUUAAAAUUAUAAAUUAUUAUAUAAUGCCACAAUUAUUUUAUUAUAUACUAUCUUUUAUAAUAUCAUAAUUCUUAUAUAUAUAAUUAAAUAUUGGAUUAAUAGUGUUUAUAUCCCAAACUUUCAGCAUUUUUCAUAGGGUUAAGGUNUAGGGCAGCAGAAAAGGCAGCAGCCAACAUUGUGUCUGUGAAAUCUGGUUCUUCAAGCCGGAAAAAGCGCUCUUCUGUACAGGAAAUAGAUUAUUCUGACCCCUUGCGUUACUUAAGGGGGACAACAAGUUCUUCUAGGCUACUUACUGCUUCUGAAGAACAUAUAUUGUCAGAAGGGAUCCAGGUAGCUUUAGAUAAAUUUGGUUUCCAAUUCAAUUUUUUUCCUAAUCAUACAUUUAUAUACUUUGCAUUUUCCUAGAAAUCACUUAUUGACUCUGUAGCAACAUCAGCUUUGCCAAAUCAUUUAGUAACUGUGCGAUUUUAGAAACACGCCAAAUACUACACUAUAAGGUUUCACAUCCAUUUUGUUGUUGACAAAUCUUUAAGUUUGCAGUUCCAUGUCCUCUCUCCAGCAUUAUUUUUCUAGGAGCCUGGAAUUUUUUACAGUCAAUAAAGUAGAUAGAUCAUUGGGUCAAUGGAAGUUUAGUCUUCAUUUAUCAGAAAUCCCCUUUAUAUUGGCAUGUCCUAUUUUCAUAUUGAUUUCAGUUGGACGCUGAUGAAUGAUGAUAUUUGUUUGAGCUAAUUUAAUUUGCAGAACUGCAGAAGGUUCUAUAUUCCGCCACAAUAAAAACAUUUAAUCACUCUAGAUGAAUUAUUCAACUGUAUAAGAUUAAGAUUCUUUCAACUAAGUCUGAGAAACUAUUCCUAGUUAUCAUUGGUAAUAGAUAGUGGGAACUUUGGCUAUUACUGAAUUUCCUUUUCUUUUAUUCUGUUCUAUAAGCCGCUUGCAGUGACUAGCUGACUUAUGUAGCUUUUGCAUUUAACACAUAUCUACAAUGAAUGCAGGUCCUACUGAAGUUGGAAAAACUACAGGUAGAGCUAACUCAACGUUUUGGCAGUCCGCCUACUUUUGCCCAAUGGGCUGCAGCGGCUGGUGUUGAUCAGAAAACCUUGAGGAGGCAACUGAAUUACGGUAGUCUAUGCAAAGAUAAAAUGAUUAAGAGCAACAUACGUCUAGUUAUUUCUAUUGCAAAAAAUUACCAGGGAGCUGGGAUGAAUCUUCAAGAUUUGGUUCAGGUAUUCAUUAUUUUGCGACCUCUGAUUGUCAGAUCUGAAGUUAUUAUGCAGAAAUCAGAAAACAUAUGACCUAUUCGUCUCAUACCCCGUCUUUCACUAAUUGUUCUUGCGGGUAUGUCCUUAGGAAGGGUGUCGUGGACUCGUGAGAGGUUCAGAGAAAUUUGAUGCAUCGAAGGGUUUCAAGUUCUCCACCUACGCUCAUUG